Molecule: ribosomal RNA, 492 nt
Filed under: uncultured bacterium
Lineage: Bacteria
Description: partial 16S ribosomal RNA
Rfam family: Bacterial small subunit ribosomal RNA
Source: RNAcentral
AGUGAACGCUGGCGGUAGGCCUAACACAUGCAAGUCGAACGGCAGCACAGUAAGAGCUUGCUCUUACGGGUGGCGAGUGGCGGACGUGUGAGGAAUACAUCGGAAUCUACUUUUUCGUGGGGGAUAACGUAGGGAAACUUACGCUAAUACCGCAUACGACCUACGGGUGAAAGCAGGGGAUCUUCGGACCUUUCGCGAUUGAAUGAGCCGAUGUCGGAUUAGCUAGUUGGCGGGGUAAAGGCCCACCAAGGCGACGAUCCGUAGCUGGUCUGAGGGGAUGAUCAGCCACACUGGAACUGAGACACGGUCCAGACUCCUACGGGAGGGAGCAGUGGGGAAUAUUGGACAAUGGGCGCGAGCCUGGUCCAGCCAUACCGCGUGGGUGAAGGAGGCCUUCGGGUUGUAAAGCCCUUUUGUUGGGAAAGAAAAGCAGCAGGUUAAUACCCCGCUGUUCUGACGGUACCCAAAGAAUAAGCACCGGCUAACUUCGUG